RNAcentral lists this unclassified non-coding RNA (348 nucleotides) under soil metagenome. RNAcentral's name for it is "partial contains 5.8S ribosomal RNA, internal transcribed spacer 2, and large subunit ribosomal RNA". The stretch from base 1 to 120 matches the Rfam family "5.8S ribosomal RNA", at positions 35 to 154 of the family's 154-position model. The record is from RNAcentral.
GAUGAAGAACGCAGCGAAAUGCGAUAAGUAAUGUGAAUUGCAGAAUUCAGUGAAUCAUCGAAUCUUUGAACGCACAUUGCGCCCGCCAGUAUUCUGGCAGGCAUGCCUGUCUGAGCGUCAUUUCAACCCUCAUGCCCCUAGGGCGUGGUGUUGGGGAUCGGCCAAAGCCCGCGAGGGACGGCCGGCCCCUAAAUCUAGUGGCGGACCCGUCGUGGCCUCCUCUGCGUAGUAGUGAUAUUCCGCAUCGGAGAGCGAUGAGCCCCUGCCGUUAAACCCCCAACUUUCCAAGGUUGACCUCAGAUCAGGUAGGAAUACCCGCUGAACUUAAGCAUAUCAAUAAGCGGAGGA